GCAUAUGUAGUUUAAUAAAAAUGUGAGGCUGUUAACCUUGUGUUGGGUGGUUUAUCCCGUAGGCG
Molecule: transfer RNA, 65 nt
Filed under: Azygia hwangtsiyui
Lineage: Eukaryota; Metazoa; Platyhelminthes; Trematoda; Azygiida; Azygiidae
Description: tRNA-Asn
Source: RNAcentral